GCCAGCUUCAUCAGUGAUUCUUAACAGGAUGGUAUGUGUGUAUAGGUAAAGAGGGUUGGUCUAGUUCACCUAUUGUUGAGUAACAAACUACCCUAGAGCUUAAUGACAUAACACAACCAUUUAUUUUGUUUAUGAUUUUGUGGGUCAGGCAUUUGGAAAGGGUAUAGCUAGGUAGUUUUGUUCCACAUGAUAUUGGCUGGGCCUGAAGGAUCCACUUCCCAGAUGGAUUCUCCACUCACACAUGGGAUCUCAUCCUUUGCAGCUGCUUCACAUGGCCUAGCUUUCUCAUACCAUGGUUGUCUCAAGAUAAUCACACUUCUUACAAGAGGUUAAGCAUCUGUUUUAUUCAAACCUGGGUAAGUCAGAAGCUUUAGGCAGCCUGUUUUGCAGGAAAUUUAGUGCUGGAAUGUCUUCCUACCUCACUCUCCCAAGAACCUGCUCCUGCAGAUGAAACCUCAGAACCCCUCCUUCUUGUCAAAAAGGGGCUGGUCUUCAGCCUUGAAGUCCAGGUUGGGGCUGCCAAACUCAUUGAGAAUUGUCUGAGCCCUGUAGCUGACAAUUGGGUGUUUGGCUUUGUACACACUGGUGAAGACAUCAUCCAUGGACUACAACUUCUUGGCUAUGAGACCUGUGGUGUGUCACAGGGACACAGCAUUCAUCCCAUUUGGAGGAAGCAGUGUUCAAGGCACCAUCCUGGAAGCAGAGACUGGGCCAUCACCAGGCACCAAACCAGCUGGCACCUUGGUCUUAGACUUCCCAACCCCCAGAACUUGCCUCUUCUUGCCCAUGGAAGGACAUGCAGCUUCUUACUCCUCUGCUGCCCAACACAGUUUACUGGCUGGCCACUCCAUGGCUAGGAUCCUUCACACUACCUGAGACCUGAUGUCUCUGGCUCCAAAGGACGCAGCUCUGCUCAUCCCCCAGUGAGGCCUGUCAUGAGUUGCUGUGGCUGUGGAAGCCUGCCAUCCUGGGAUGGAGACUUUUCCCACCACCCUGUCCCUUUAAUUUCAGCAGGCACAUCAUCCCGCCUCAUGUGGAUCCCCAGAGCAGCAGAUCUGGAAUCUCCUGUGAUGCUGAGGCCUUCAGGGACCACAGGAAACCCAUCUUAAUGAUGAAUCCUGGACUUUCUUUGCCCUUGGAACAGUCCUGGUUUCACACAUUUACCUCCAAAAGAGCACUUAACAGCUGCCACGUGGCUGCCCUGAGGUUUGGGCUGAAACAACAUGACCGUCAUACCUUCCCAGAGUCCUCCCAAGAAUGGUCUCUAGGUUCUCCUUCGCACAGUGGGGUACGAUGGGCUACUCUGCCCAAUCUGUGUACUCUCCUUGGGCUACUCUGCCCAAACUGUGAUUUGGGGCAUAUAGCUAUGCCUUCUCUGGUUCCUCUGUACCAAGGUCUCUCCAGUGGCUACCUCUUCUACUCAGCAGGACAGAGAAGCUCUCUUGGUUUUUAUUCUUAGGAUCCAGGUUCAGAAAACAAAUAAACAAACAAACAAACAAAAAACCUCAUGGUAGCUAAUCUGCCCCCUCCCUUCUCUAUGAAAUGGGCAGGCAGAGAAAAUCCCCCUGGCCCUGCCUAGCCCAUCCAUUCCUAAGGGACCUUCCCAUAGCCAGAUUGCAAGAGGAGAGCAAAUUUAAAUGAAAUAAAUAUGAAUUUCCUCCUAA
Molecule: long non-coding RNA, 1664 nt
Filed under: Homo sapiens (human)
Lineage: Eukaryota; Metazoa; Chordata; Mammalia; Primates; Hominidae
Description: HSALNT0370115
Source: RNAcentral